This 459-nucleotide ribosomal RNA is filed under the name uncultured bacterium. RNAcentral's name for it is "partial 16S ribosomal RNA". It matches the Rfam family "Bacterial small subunit ribosomal RNA", at positions 338 to 795 of the family's 1533-position model. The record is from RNAcentral.
CCUACGGGGGGCAGCAGUGAGGAAUAUUGGUCAAUGGGCGCGAGCCUGAACCAGCCAAGUCGCGUGAGGGAAGACGGUCCUAUGGAUUGUAAACCUCUUUGGUCGGGGAGCAAAAGACGCCACGUGUGGCGUUCCGAGAGUACCCGAAGAAAAAGCAUCGGCUAACUCCGUGCCAGCAGCCGCGGUAAUACGGAGGAUGCGAGCGUGAUCCGGAUUUAUUGGGUGUAAAGGGUGCGCAGGCGGAAGAGCAAGUCAGCGGUAAAAUUGAGAGGCUCAACCUCUUCGAGCCGUUGAAACUGGUUUUCUUGAGUGUGCGCGAAGUAUGCGAACUGCGUGGUGUAGCGGUGAAAUGCAUAGAUAUCACGCAGAACUCCGAGUGCGAAGGCAGCAUACCGGCGCUCAACUGACGCUCAUGCACGAAAGUGUGGGUAUCGAACAGGAUUAGAUACCCUUGUAGUC